AGCUCAGGGUGCAGAAGAGCGCUCAUGGCCUGCUGGGAGAGGGGAAAUAAUUGUUCAUUAACCUUUGAACUCGAGAAGGCGUCAAUUCAGAGGGAUCUUAGACACUUCUAGAGACCGGAAUAUCAAAGAAACUUGAGGAUGGGCUCUUUUGACAACGGCAGUGCACACUGGGCGAAGAGGAGGAGGGAUAAUUAUUAUGCCAUUUCUCCACACCUUAACACAGGCUGCUGGGCGGAGGCCAAUCUCAGAGAUGCUCUAACGUGAGGCUGCAUGACAGUGUAAAUUACAUUAGGCCUUCGGUAUGUGUAACAGACGUCUGAAGUUCAAACGCAGACCAGCACCGUCACUCCUACAGGUGCUGAAAUGUGAUUGGCAGAGGAGGAUCCAGGGGGAGGGUGCAGAGAUGGGUGAAGUGCUUCUCAUUUUUGAGGAUGCUGCAGUGAGAUAAGAGCAGCGCAUGAUGGACAAAAUGCAGGCUGCCUUUAUUAAGAUGGAAAUGCAUAUGUGUGUUUGAAUCCAUUAACUAGAUAGUUCAUAAACUUUGUGCAUCAAAAACGGUGCAACCGUUGCCUGUUAUCUGCAGAUAUCAUGGGGUGAAAAUAUGCCCAGACACUGGCUGACCGGUGCUAAAUAAAUAAUAAUUAUAAUUUUUUUACACAAGUAACAUAUUGCAAGUUUUAAUUUAUUUUAUUUGAAGGUUAUAUUAAAUC
Long non-coding RNA from Cyprinus carpio carpio, 710 nucleotides. Lineage: Eukaryota; Metazoa; Chordata; Actinopteri; Cypriniformes; Cyprinidae. The record is from Ensembl.